This 808-nucleotide ribosomal RNA is filed under the name uncultured archaeon. RNAcentral describes it as "bacterial SSU rRNA". It matches the Rfam family "Archaeal small subunit ribosomal RNA", at positions 56 to 869 of the family's 1478-position model. The record is from RNAcentral.
AGUCGAGAGGGUUCGGCCCUCGGCACACUGCUCAGUAACACGUGGACAAUCUGCCCUCGGGUGGGGGAUAACCUCGAGAAAUUGAGAAUAAUACCCCAUAGGUCCCAUAUGCUGGAACGCUUCGGGAUCGAAAGCUGCGGCGCCCGAGGAUGAGUCUGCGGCUCAUCAGGUUGUAGUGAGUGUAACGGACUCACUAGCCGACAACGAGUACGGGCCUUGGAAGAGGUCGCCCGGAGAUGGACUCUGAGACACGAGUCCAGGCCCUACGGGGCGCAGCAGGCGCGAAAACUUCGCAAUGUGGGAAACCACGACGAGGGGAUUCCAAGUGCUCAUGGUUUUCCAUGGGCUGUUUUCCUGCCUAAAUAGCAGGGAGAGUAAGGGCUGGGUAAGACGGGUGCCAGCCGCCGCGGUAAUACCCGCAGCUCGAGUGGUGAUCGUUCUUAUUGGGCCUAAAGCGUCCGUAGCCGGCUCAGUAAAUCCUUGGGUAAAUCGGGCAGCUUAACUGUCCGACUUCCGGGGAGACUGCUGAGCUUGGGACUGGGAGAGGUCGGAGGUACUCCGGGGGUAGAGGUGAAAUUCUGUAAUCCCCGGGGGACCACCAGUGGCGAAGGCGUCCGACUUGAACGGGUCCGACGGUGAGGGACGAAGCCCUGGGGCACAAACCGGAUUAGAUACCCGGGUAGUCCAGGGUGUAAACGCUGCGGGCUUGGUGUUGGGGGUCCUACGUGGGCGCUCAGUGCCGGAGAGAAGUUGUUAAGCCCGCCGCCUGGGGAGUACGGUCGCAAGACUGAAACUUAAAGGAAUUGGC